GGGGAGAUUAAGGUGGGGGGUAUAAAGGUGAUAUUUACCCCUCUUGUCCAUCAGCCCCAUGAAGAGGAAGCAGGGCAGGAAGGGGUAUUGUGUAUUAAGGGGCAGGGUAUUAAGGAGGGGAGGGGGGUAUUAAGGAGAUAUUUACCCCUCUUGUCCAUCAGCCCCAUGAAGAGGAAGCAGGGCAGGAAGGGGUAUUGUGUAUUAAGGGGCAGGGUAUUAAUGUGGGGGGACAGGGUAUUAAGGUGGGGGGCAGGGUAUUAAGGGGGGGAGGGGGGUAUUAAGGAGAUAUUUACCCCUCUUGUCCAUCAGCCCCAUGAAGAGGAAGCAGGGCAGGAAGGGCUAUUGUGUAUUAAGGGGCAGGGUAUUAAGGAGAUAUUUACCCCUCUUGUCCAUCAGCCCCAUGAAGAGGAAGCAGGGCAGGAAGGGGUAUUGUGUAUUAAGGGGCAGGGUAUUAAGGAGGGGAGGGGGGUAUUAAGGAGAUAUUUACCCCUCUUGUCCAUCAGCCCCAUGAAGAGGAAGCAGGGCAGGAAGGGCUAUUGUGUAUUAAGGGGCAGGGUAUUAAGGAGGGGGGCAGGGUAUUAAGGUGGGGGUAUUAAGGUGGGGGGUAUUCAGGUGAUAUUUACCCCUCUUGUCCAUCAGCCCCAUGAAGAGGAAGCAGGGCAGGAAGCCGAUGGGGCCCCACAGGACCAGCAGGGCGAUGUCCAGGCUGGAGAAGCCAUAGGCGGCCCGGGCCGAGUUCUGGAUGGGCCCCCACGUGUUAAACAGCAGCCCCUGCAGGAAGGCGAGCAGCGAGAACAGCGACAGCACCAGCCAGCGCCGCCCGAACACCCGGGGCCCGCGGGGGCCGGGGGGGGACAGCAGGGCCUGCCGCUCCUCCUCCUCCUCCCCGGGGCCGCUCCACUGCAAGCCCAUCCGGGACCGGAACCAGAACCGGGACCGACACCGGAACCAGAACCGAGACCGGGAACCAGAACCGGGAACCAGAACCGGGACCGAGACCAGAACCGACACCGGGACCGGGACCAGAACCGACACCGGGACCGACACAGGGACCAGAACCAGAACCGGGGGGUGGGGGAGAUACGGACCGGGAACAGAACCGAGACCGGCUGCUCCCUGUGUGAGUGUCCCCCGGGGGCCCCGCUCCGGCCGGUCUCUCACAGGAGAAGUUCGGGUUUUUCCGGUCACGAGCUCAAA
This 1197-nucleotide long non-coding RNA is filed under the name Pelobates cultripes (western spadefoot toad). Lineage: Eukaryota; Metazoa; Chordata; Amphibia; Anura; Pelobatidae. The record is from RNAcentral.